Molecule: ribosomal RNA, 252 nt
Filed under: uncultured prokaryote
Description: partial 16S rRNA
Rfam family: Archaeal small subunit ribosomal RNA
Source: RNAcentral
ACCGGCGGCUCGAGUGGUGGCCACUAUUACUGGGCUUAAAGCGUUCGUAGCUGGCUUGUUAAGUCUCUGGGGAAAUCUUCCGGCUCAACCGGAAGGCGUCUCAGGGAUACUGGCAGGCUAGGGACCGGAAGAGGUGAGAGGUACUCCAGGGGUGGGAGUGAAAGGCUGGGCUCCGUGGGGGACGACCGGUGGCGAAGGCAGCUCACCAGGACGGCACCCACAGUAAGGCACGAAAGCUGGUAGAACAAAGCG